AGCGAACGCUGGCGGCAGGCCUAACACAUGCCAGUCGAACGAACUCUUCGGAGUUAGUGGCGGACGGGUGAGUAACACGUGGGAACGUGCCUUUAGGUUCGGAAUAACUCAGGGAAACUUGUGCUAAUACCGAAUGUGCCCUUCGGGGGAAAGAUUUAUCGCCUUUAGAGCGGCCCGCGUCUGAUUAGCUAGUUGGUGAGGUAAAGGCUCACCAAGGCGACGAUCAGUAGCUGGUCUGAGAGGAUGAUCAGCCACAUUGGGACUGAGACACGGCCCAAACUCCUACGGGAGGCAGCAGUGGGGAAUCUUGCGCAAUGGGCGAAAGCCUGACGCAGCCAUGCCGCGUGAAUGAUGAAGGUCUUAGGAUUGUAAAAUUCUUUCACCGGGGACGAUAAUGACGGUACCCGGAGAAGAAGCCCCGGCUAACUUCGUG
RNAcentral lists this ribosomal RNA (433 nucleotides) under uncultured bacterium. RNAcentral describes it as "partial 16S ribosomal RNA". It matches the Rfam family "Bacterial small subunit ribosomal RNA", at positions 29 to 507 of the family's 1533-position model. The record is from RNAcentral.